GUCCGGAAUCAUUGGGCGUAAAGAGCGCGUAGGCGGUCCGGUAAGUCCGCUCUGAAAGUCCGGGGCUCAACCCCGGGAGGCGGGCGGAUACUGCCGGGCUAGAGUCCGGAAGAGGCGAGUGGAAUUCCUGGUGUAGCGGUGAAAUGCGCAGAUAUCAGGAGGAACACCGAUGGCGAAGGCAGCUCGCUGGGACGGUACUGACGCUGAGGCGCGAAAGCGUGGGGAGCAAACAGG
RNAcentral lists this ribosomal RNA (234 nucleotides) under uncultured bacterium. RNAcentral's name for it is "partial 16S ribosomal RNA". It matches the Rfam family "Bacterial small subunit ribosomal RNA", at positions 543 to 776 of the family's 1533-position model. The record is from RNAcentral.